RNAcentral lists this ribosomal RNA (258 nucleotides) under uncultured bacterium. RNAcentral describes it as "partial 16S ribosomal RNA". It matches the Rfam family "Bacterial small subunit ribosomal RNA", at positions 96 to 353 of the family's 1533-position model. The record is from RNAcentral.
UGGCGGACGGGUGAGUAAUGUCUGGGAAACUGCCUGAUGGAGGGGGGAUAACUACUGGAAACGGUAGCUAAUACCGCAUAACGUCGCAAGACCAAAGAGGGGGACCUUCGGGCCUCUUGCCAUCGGAUGUGCCCAGAUGGGAUUAGCUAGUAGGUGGGGGUAACGGCUCACCUAGGCGACGAUCCCUAGCUGGUCUGAGAGGAUGACCAGCCACACUGGAACUGAGACACGGUCCAGACUCCUACGGGAGGCAGCAUG